Long non-coding RNA from Piliocolobus tephrosceles (Ugandan red Colobus), 1838 nucleotides. The record is from Ensembl. Lineage: Eukaryota; Metazoa; Chordata; Mammalia; Primates; Cercopithecidae.
UAUUUUUAUUUUUUUUUAUAAAAAAAAAAAUAUAUAAUAAUCAUUAAUUAUAUAAUUUUUAAAAAAAAAGUAAUAUAUACUAUUAGUUACAUAUUUAAAAAAAUAAAUAAGAAUUGUACAUAAUGUACACAAAAAUAUAAAUAGUAAAAUACUAUAGACAUAACAAAAAUCGUACACAAAAUAAAAAUCAUGAUAUUUACAAAACUUUCCUGCUUUUAUAUGCCAAUUUUAAUCAUAAGUGUGAGUAUUUGGCAUGAGUUGUUAAUUGUGAAGUUAAACACAAAACAACACGUAACACAAUCGCACAGAUAUGUUGCAUGUGAACAACCAAAAUUAAAAAAAGAAACAUUCGGAAAAGUUUAUUUAGAAAAUAAUAAAAUUUUAGACGCUCUACAAAAUGGGUUAGAACAUGGGUUAGAACAUGGGCAAGAAGUACAACAACUGAAUAUAAAAAAGCAUGUAAUAACUGGAAAAAUAAACAAACAUAUAAAACAAAGACCAAUACAAGAGAAAGAGAAAACUCCAAGCAGUAAGAAUAACCUUUUCCACAAUAAGAAAAAUAGUAAAAAUGGAAAAAAUGACGAAAUUAACUUCAGUGAUUUAACGAAAAGUAAAAAAUAUACUACUCGAAACGUAAAAAAUAAGGGGCAAAACAAAUUACAUAAUAGUGUCUGUGAAGGAGAACCCAGUAACUGCAUAAAUAAAGAAGUUGACAGUUUUGUUAAGGUAAUGGAUGGUAUUUAUAAUAGUCAAAAUAAACAGGAUGUAUAUAAUAAGGUAAAUAAUGAUAAUGUAUAUGAUGAUGAACAUCAUACAGUUAUUGUUUAUGAUGGUCUUGACAAAAGUAAAGAUGUAUAUAAAAAAUUAAAAAAAAAAUCAGAUGAAAGUAUGCAUACAGAUGUUAUACAAGGAACAGAAUAUUUGGGAGUAGGUUAUGAUAUUAUUUUUGGCAACCCGAUUGGAGAUCCUUUUUUAAAAGUAGAUCCUGGUUAUAGAGAUUCUAUAAUAAAAUUAACAUAUCCUAAGUCAGAUGCAGAUUAUCCCAAAGGUUAUAAAAAUAUAAAUCCUAAUGGUUCAUAUGUGCGAAAUGAAAUUUCUUGUAAUAGAUCUGAACAUGAUAAUGAAGUAAGUAGUAUGAAAGAUUAUUCCAAAGAACUUUCUGUUGAUGCUUCUAUAAGUGCUUCUUAUGCAUUUUUUGGUUCUUUUUCAGCAUCUGCUGGUUAUCAAGACAUGUUUAAUACUAUUUCUAAAAACAAAACUAAAAUAUUUAUACUAAAAAGUUAUUGUUUUAAAUAUUUAGCAUUUUUAUCUCAGUAUUCUCAAUGGAAAUUGACUGAUCAAUUUGUAAGAGCCAUUGAUCUACUUCCUUCUUAUUUUAAUUCUUUAGAGCAUGAUGGUAUUUUUUGUGAAGCGAAUGAUUACAGAAAUGACAAUAAAACAAACAAGUGUGGAAAAAGUGUUGGAUCAUGGAUGUUUUUUUUUAAAAAUUUCGGUACACAUGUUUCAACAUUAAUACAUUUAGGAGGGAAAAUAACACAACAAGUGAAAAUAUCAAAAAGUGCUUACAAAUCAUUAACUCAAAAAUCAGUUAGUGCUUCUGUAGGAGCAUCUGCUAGUUUUGGUUUGUUUAGCGCAUCUGCAUCUGUAAGUACUGGUUCAAAUACAUCAAAUAAUGAAGAAAGUUCAAAUUCGGAUAUGGAAAAAGAAACUGUAAUAAUAGGAGGGAUCACAAUUUAUAAUCCUAAUGAUGCUAAAAAUUUUGAAAAAUGGGCUGAAAGUGUAAAAGAGAACCCUAUGCCUAUAAAAGGACAAUACGAACCAAUAUCUCGUAUUUUACC